UACGUAGGGUGCAAGCGUUAUCCGGAAUUAUUGGGCGUAAAGAGCUCGUAGGCGGUUUGUCGCGUCUGCUGUGAAAACUGGGGGCUCAACCCCCAGCCUGCAGUGGGUACGGGCAGACUAGAGUGCGGUAGGGGAGAUUGGAAUUCCUGGUGUAGCGGUGGAAUGCGCAGAUAUCAGGAGGAACACCGAUGGCGAAGGCAGAUCUCUGGGCCGUAACUGACGCUGAGGAGCGAAAGCUAGGGGAGCAAAUGGG
RNAcentral lists this ribosomal RNA (253 nucleotides) under uncultured bacterium. RNAcentral's name for it is "partial 16S ribosomal RNA". It matches the Rfam family "Bacterial small subunit ribosomal RNA", at positions 524 to 776 of the family's 1533-position model. The record is from RNAcentral.